UUUCAUAAAUAAAGAAGACAAGCGUAAGUUUUCGAUGAUGACGGUGACGAUAGAGAUGACCAUCAUGAUGGUGAUUAUAGAGGUGACGAUGACAAUGUUGAUAGUUCAUUUGUUUUAUGGAUAUGAUAAACAUGACGGUAUUGUUGAAGAUUAUAUAUAUUACGGUGAUAAAGAAGAUUAUAAAGAUAACGAUGGUGAUGAAGACGAAAUAGAUUACGAUGGUGAUGAUCAUGAUACCGAUGAGGAUGGUGAUGAAGCUGAUAGAGAUGAGGAUGAGGGUGAUGUAGAUGAUAGAAAUGACGAUGGUGGUAAAGAUUAUAGAGAUGUUAAUGGUGAUGAAGAUGAUAUAGAUGACAAUAAUUAGAAUGAAUAUAAUAGAGAUGAGGAAGAGGAUGAUGAUGAUGAUGAAAAUGACGACGGUGAUGAAGAAUAUACAGAUAAUGUUGUUGAUGAAGAUGAUAGAGAUGACGAUGCUGAUGAUGUAGAUGAUACGAAUUUCGAUGGUGAUGCAGAUUAUAGAGAAGAUUAUGGGGAUGAAGAUAAUAGGGAUGAGGCUGAUGAUGACGAUGAUAUAGAUGACGUUGAUUAUGAAGAUGAUAGAGAUGAGGAUGAUGAUGAAUAUAAUAAAGAUAAAGAUAGUGAUGAAGAUGAUAACAGAAAAGAUGGUGAUGAAGAUGAUAGAGAUGACGAUUGUGGUGAAGAUGAUAUAGAUAAUGAUGGGGAUGAAGAUGUUAGGGAUGAGGAUGAUGAUGGCAAUGAUAUAGAUGACGAUGAUAAUAGAGAUGAUAGAAAUUAGGAUGCUGAUAAAUAUAAUAGAGAUGACGAUAGUGAUGAAGAUGACAAAGUAACGAUGGUUAUGCAGAUGAUAGAGACGAUUAUGAAGAUGAUAGAGAUGAUGGUGUUUACAAGAACUGAACUUGAGAUGAAAAUAAUAAAAAUCGAUGUUUUUGACUGGAAUGGAAAAGGACAAUAAAGUCAAUGGUGAUUAUAGAGAAGAUCAUGGGGAUGAAGAUGAUAGGGAUGAGGCUGAUGAUGACGAUGAUAUAGAUGACGUUGAUUAUGAAGAUGAUAGAGAUGAGGAUGAUGAUGAAUAUGAUACAGAUAAAGAUAGUGAUGAAGAUGAUAAAAGAAAAGAUGGUGAUGAAGGUGAUAGAGAUGACGAUUGUGGUGAAGAUGAUAUACCCGGUAGAUAAUGAUGGGGAUGAAGAUGCUAGGGAUGUGGAUGAUGAUGGCAAUGAUAUAGAUGACGAUGAUUAUAAAGAUGAUAGAAAUUAGGCUGAUGAUAAAUAUAAUAGAGAUGGCGAUAGUGAUGAAGACGAAAAAGUUACGAUGGUUAUGCAGAUGAUAAAGAUGAUUAUGAACAUGAUAGAGAUGAUGGUGUUUACAAGAACUGAACUUGAGAUGAAAAUAAUAAAAAACGAUAUAUUUGACUGGAAUGGAAAAGGACAAUAAAGUCAAUGGUGAUACGAAACAACUAGUGAUAGUUAUAUGUUAUUCUGCAUAGGUCACUAUUAACAUAUUUUACAUAUUUAAAAUACUUGUUUAUUUUGUAAUUACACUUUAUUCCUUGUUUUUUUUUAUGAAAUGAACCAAAUAUGAUUUAUAUCUAAGAGUUACAUACUUAUGUUGUUUUGUGUUUCUGUGAUAAUUACUAUGUCAUUGGCGUCGCACUGAAGUGCGGCGACUCGUAUGUAAUACGUUUUGUUUUUCGCUUAUGGGAGAAGUUAUUUUACGGAUGAAUUUAUAUAUUUUUGUUGUCAGAAUAUCUUGCAUAGUGGUGAUUUUUUGUGUAAAUUAGUGUAAAUAAGUACUGCAUUUGUGCCUAUAACAUUUACUACAACAAUUAUUGCUAAUAAUACAAGCUAAUUCUUUUAAUUUAUAACUGAUCACAGGGAUUGGGCAAUAAUAAAAGAUCACAGGAACUGGGCAAACACGCGAACCGGUGAAACUAUUUGGUUUUGUAUAAAAACAAAACAUAAUCAAAAUAUAUUUAUUUAAAUUUGGUUUCCUAACAAUAGCGCAGACUUUUGCUGUUCGAGUUUUGGUUAACGCGUAUUUUUUUCAAUUUUACAAGACGACAGCGAUUACACGGUUUAUUUCUUUAUUGAUAACCGUUACACUACAGUCACUUUUUAAUAUCUUAGUUAGAAGGUGAUUUUUCAAGCGGUUCCGUAGUGUAGUGGUUACACGCUCGCUUCACAUGUGAGAGGCCCAAGGUUCGAGCCCCAGUAGAAUUAAAUUAUUUUAUUUGUGUUCUAUGUUAACUUUUUGUUUUGAUGUAGACAUUUUAGUUUAAAUAAAUAUGCUGUUUUAGUGUAA
This is a long non-coding RNA of Dreissena polymorpha, 2319 nucleotides long. RefSeq lists it as uncharacterized. The transcript has 2 exons. The record is from RefSeq and is a predicted model, not a curated record. Lineage: Eukaryota; Metazoa; Mollusca; Bivalvia; Myida; Dreissenidae.